GACGAACGCUGGCGGCGUGCUUAACACAUGCAAGUCGAACGGAAAGGCCCUGCUUUUGUGGGGUGCUCGAGAGGCGAACGGGUGAGUAAAACGUGAGUAACCUGCCCUUGACUUUGGGAUAACUUCAGGGAACUGGGGCUAAUACCGGAUAGGAGAUCCUGCUGCGUGGGGGGGGAUGGUAAGUUUCGGCGGUUGUGGCUGGUAUCGCGGCUUAUGCGCUUGUUGGUGGGGUAGUGGCUUACCAAGGCUUUGACGGGUAGCCGGCCUGAGAGGUUGACCGGCCACAUGGGGCCUGAGAGACGGCCCAGACGCCUACGGGCGGCAGCAGUGGGGAAUAUUGCACAAUGGGCGGAAGCGUGAUGCAGCAACGCCGCGUUCGUGAUGACGGCUUUCGGGGUGUAAACCGCUUUCGCCUGUGACGAAGCGUGAUUGACGGUAAUGGGUAAAGAAGCACCGGCUAACUACGUG
RNAcentral lists this ribosomal RNA (468 nucleotides) under uncultured bacterium. RNAcentral's name for it is "partial 16S ribosomal RNA". It matches the Rfam family "Bacterial small subunit ribosomal RNA", at positions 28 to 507 of the family's 1533-position model. The record is from RNAcentral.